GGGGGUGUACCGGUUUCGACUGGAUCAAAGGAGAGUCUGCUGCAUGCCGGGGAUUCGGCUGCCCCGUUAUCAAAGCCGAACUUCAAGAAUUAACUGACAACAAUUUAGCACUUGCGGCCUAAGCGCCGCCGUCCUCUUCGGUAGGCCUUCGGGCCGGAGAAGGGCGCCGCAACGAAGGCUGGCACUGUCUGCCCGACCCGAGCGGACUGCGUGAGAUGAUCGGGUGGGGUUGUGUGCGGUGUUGUCUGUGGCUUCCGCAUAUAACCGACGCUGCAUCCACAGACUAAGCGCGUAGACGCGGCCUCAUUCCUUGUUUCAGGACGCGGGUUCGACUCCCGCCACCUCCAUAA
This 350-nucleotide transfer-messenger RNA is filed under the name Spirochaetota bacterium. It matches the Rfam family "transfer-messenger RNA". Rfam says of the family: Bacterial tmRNA, also known as 10Sa RNA or SsrA, is named for its dual tRNA and mRNA-like properties. Lineage: Bacteria; Pseudomonadati; Spirochaetota. The record is from RNAcentral.